Molecule: long non-coding RNA, 11446 nt
Organism: Passer domesticus (house sparrow)
Lineage: Eukaryota; Metazoa; Chordata; Aves; Passeriformes; Passeridae
Exons: 3
Source: RefSeq, a predicted model, not a curated record
UGGGACAGCGGACUGAUUUCAAGUGUUUGUAUUGUGCUUAGACUGCGUGUUAGAGGGGAAUUAGGCUGUGUGUGAGCUUGGACAGCAUGUGUUUUUGGAUGUAAAAUUUUAUUUGAUGUAUUGUCAGGUGAAAAAGGCUUUGUGUGAGUUUAGUUUGUUUACUUUGUAGUUAAAAGAGCAAAAGGAAAGCCCAAAACUAUUCCUGACACAGUCCGGGUGAUCAGGGGAGUAAUUUGUUUCCUGGGUAACCGGAGGGGAGUCCAGACUUUGUAGCCUUGUGAAACGCCAAGAGUUUGAUUUGAAGGAUGCCUUCUUUUGCCUCCCGCUCCAUGAAGCUAGCCAGAAAAUGUUUGCAUUCGAAUGGGAGAACCCCAAAACUGGACGGAGGAACCAGCUCACAUGGUGUGUAUUGCCAUAGGGAUACAAGAACUCCACCACUAUAUCUGGGGAGCAUCUUGCCAAGGAUUUAGAGUCUUGGGAACCUCCACCAGGAGAAGGGCAGUUGCUCCAGUAUGUGAAUGACCUCCUAAGAGCCACCCAGACCCAGGAGACAUGUGUGGACUGGACAGUAAGCCUCCUAAACUUUUUGGGCCUGCAGGGGUAUCGAGUAUCCCAGAAGAAAGCCCAGAUGGUGAGGCAAACAGUCAUUUACCUGGGUUAUGCAGUGAGUGCUGGUCAAAGGACCUUGGGGCAGGAUCGCAAAGAAGCAAUAUGCCAGACCCCGAGACCUCAGACAGUGAAGGAACUGAGAACCAUUUUAGGCAUGACAGGGUGGUGCAGGCAAUGGAUUUAUAACUAUGGGUUACUUGUUAAACCUCUAUAUGCCCUGAUCACAGAAGGGAGCAGAGAUCUUCAGUGGACAAAAGAAGCAACCCAAGCCUUCAACCCUCAUGUCAGCUCCGGGUCUAGGACUUCCAGAUAUGAAUAAACCAUUUUUCCUGUUUUCCCAUGAAAAACAAGGGAUUGCCCUGGGAAUAUUAGCACAGAACUUAGGCCCGUACCAGAGAGCACUGUCCUAUCUCUCCAAACAGCUGGACAUGGCAGCUAAAGGAUGGCCAGGGUGUCUCAGAGCUGUUGCAGCAGUGGCAGUGAACAUCCAGGAAGCACGCAAAUUCAUCCUGGGCUAUAAAAUGACUGUGCUGGUAUCCCACACGGUGUCUGCAGUCCUUGAGGAAAAAGGGGGACAUUGGGUCUCCCCACAGAGGUUUCUGAAGUGCCAAGCUAUACUAGUAGAACAAGAUGAUGUUGAAAUUGUGGUAACUCACAUUGUGAAUCCAGCUUCCUUCCUCAGCGGGAGUAUGGGAGAACCAGUGCUCCAUGACUGUCUGGAGACCAUUGAAGCCACUUACUCCAGCUGCCUGGAUCUGAAGGACACCCCACUUGAAGAUGCUGAAACCUGGUUCACUGAUGGAAGCAUCUGUGUCAUCAGUGGAAAAAGGCACACUGGAUAUGCAGUUACCACAAGUAGAGAGGUAAUAGAGUCUGGACCUUUACCAGCAAACACCUCUGCACAGAAGGCUGAAAUAAUGGUCUUAACUUGAGCCUUAGAGCUGGCAAAAGGAAAAGAGUUUAAUAUCUACACGGACUCAAGGUACGCAUUUGGAGUGGUUCAUGCACAUGGAGCCAUUUGGAGAGAGAGAGGACUGUUGAAUUCACAAGGGAAGAAUAUUAAACAUGCACAAGAGAUACUGAGACUACUAGAUGCAGUACAACUACCUGAGAAGGUAGCCAUCAUGCACAUUAAGGAACACCAAAAAGUGAGCUCUGAAUUGGAGGAAGGGAACAUGCUGGUGGACAGAGAGGCAAAAGACUCAGCCAAAGGUGAGGUAUUUGAGGAGAAAAUGGAGGCAACAUUGCUCCCAGAUGGAAAAAUUUCUAUUGAAGUCUUUUGCAGAAAAGACCCUGGAACUGCAGUGGGAAUGACCAUUCCAGGUGCUCCCCACUACCUUUACUGCAAUUAAGAUCAAAGAACAGAAGGCUUGGAUCCAUCACUCCCAAGUGAAGAAAGCCCCUGAGGAAGUCUGGAAAGUGACGGCAGGCGACAACGAACUGAAGCUGAAGCUCACCCGGAACAGCAAAUAAAUGGACUUACAGAAAUCAUGGACAUAAUGGAAAAGGUCGUCACUAUUAUAGCCAUUGCCAUAGUUGUAACAGGAGCCAAUGCAAUACCACACAGGUGCAACGUAACUGGGAUAUACUGGUGCCAAGGGUGGGCCUAUGAUCCCCACUCUCGUAGGUCCCUAAAUGAGAUCCUGAAGGUCAUAAAUGCACGUUUAUGGGAAGGGAGAAAUGUUUGGGGAUGUAACUGCAUUUGUGCAAGAUGGGUUCCAUGAGGCUUACCAUCCACCCAUGAAACUCAUUUGGAUUAGCUCUGAAUGCUGUGACAAAUGUUUGAGCAAGUGUCCUGAGUUUAGACUAAAAGUAGAAGGGUGUGCAAUAAGAGGGUAUGAUCUUGACUUUAACAUCACUCAAGUGUGCACUGAAUAUCAUAAGAACAAGAGCAGAACUACCCUACCAACACAAAAGAAAGCUGUUCCUACCCAAAGGCCAAUUAUUCCAGAAGUAGAAGAGCAGCUUAUAGUUCCUGUGAUUACUAGAAUUGGGCCGUAUGCUAUUAAGAAAACAGGAAUUCAGAGACUGCUGGUUAAUCCAGAAUGGUCUGUGAAGCGAGUAGAAAUGGGAAUACAAGUAAAUGCUUCGGACAUCCAACCAGAGUGUGCCCCAUUUCUCUUUCAUGGACUGGACCCCUUGGCUUCAAAAAUUAAUGCUCCCUAACUUUAGGAGGAAAAAAAGAGAUCUCACUGGGCUGCUAGGGACUGAACUGGGAGUGCUGAACACCAUAGAUUCAGAAGUGUUGAUGAAUAAAUUGACCACAGUGGGGGGCGACUUAGUUAAAUUACAGCAACCUUUACAAUCCUCCCUGCUAGAACUAGGUGACGACCACUGGAAGUUCUCCAAAGUAUUACCAGAAUGGGAGAACACUGAAAAACAGGACCAUGAGGUAACAAUUAAUGCGUUAGGCACAGCCAGUGAAAACGUCUCACUAGCUCUUGGGUGUACUCAAGCACAACUAUGGAUGCAGUCAGUGGCUGCUGCUGUCAUCAGGGAGGGUGGAGAGGGAAUAUUCCCUGCCGAACUCCACAAAAUUGUUUGGGAUAGUGCAUCCGAUAUGGAAAGGGAACUGCAAGCUUGGUGUCUUUGGUCAACUUCACUUAUAACCCUAUGACUAGUAAAGUAACAGCCUUUGUUUUAACAAUACAUAAUGCAUCAGUGAGCUUAAUUCACCCAAUACAUCCCCUGGGACUAAACCAUGAAGGGACUGUGUUGUAUCCUUCUGAACAUAGAACAUGGGCAUGAGAAAUUAGAGGGGAGUGGCAGACCAUCAACCUAGAGCCUUGUUCUAUGAGGAAACAACUGCGGUACAUAUGCAAGGGGACAUUAGAAAGUGAUAAAGACACACGUUUGGACACAGACCAAAGCAUUUGCCACUUUGAAAUGCAUUCAGGCAAUCAGACAAGUUUGCUUGUAUAUAUAGGACAAGGUUGUGUCUGUCUCAGGACAGCAUGCCCCGCUGUAAUGAUAUGAAGAGAUAAGGGGUCUGGAAUCAAGACACAACUCAAUACGAGGUAUGCAUCUUGUUCGAUUGAUUGGAAACUGAUAGGCUCUUAUAUAGUAUUGCUAAGUGUCCACGCGGCUUAAGCGUACACAUUAUUGGUUACAACAGACAGUCCAUGUGCCCUGACUCAUGCUAUGAUUGGUGUAAACCAGCUGCUCAUGCUUUUCUUGGUUCUACACUAUUUCUGUCCUGCGGUCUGCUGCUAUCUUGUGUAAUUGCUGCCUUGUGGUUUUACUGGUAUCUCGUGGUGUCUAGCUAGCCUAGUCUGCAGCCAUUGUUUAACUGUCCAACUUCCUAUUAUCACUGGUCCAAGGACAUUUCAAGGACUGUCUGUUGGCUUCAGACCUGGAUUAUGCGCUCCUUGUAAAAGUCUGUGCCCUCUCUUUAUUAGCCAGGCAGUAGAAAUACUUUCUGUACUAAUACUCUCUACAAUGGACCUGCCUAUAGCUCUCAUAAGUUAAAAGAGUUCUUCAGUGAGUGGGGAACAGAACACAAGACAGGCAUACCUGCAAAUCCCACAGGACAAUCCAUUGUAGAAAGGACACAUCAAACCCUCAAAAGAAUCCUCAAUCAGCAGCAAAGAGAAACAAAAAUCAUAUCUCCAGUUGAAAGACUUUGCAAGGCUUUCUACGUCAUCAACUUCCUGAACUGUACACCAUCAGAGCCUGACCCCCCAAUACUUCACCACUUUGCAAAUACCACCCAAGCAAAGCUCACUGAGAAACCAACUGUGCUGGUGAAGGACUCAGAAACACAUCAAAUUUCUGGGCCUUUCGAGUUGAUUACCUGGGGAAGAGGGUAUACCUGUGUUCUACUACCAUCUGCUCCAAGAUAGUACCCAGGAAAAAACAUCAAACCCUACCUAGGCACUGCAAACACCACUCCCACAAACACAAGACCUCCUCAAAACCAGACCAGUUCUGCCUGGAGACGAAGAUGUCACCGAAUGUCCACAUACAGAAGAAAAGACCGUCCCAUCACGGGACAGCAGACAAAACAGAAAGCUGAACAACAUUCUGCUGUAUCAAGCUAUAAGCCUAAUACAGCCUGAACACAAAAUUGUUCUCUGAAUUAUAUAUUAUUACCCCUUUUUACCCUAAAAAACCCUAUUAUUCCCUUUUCUCAACUCUUACCAAAACCCCCUACCUUAUACCCACUCCCCCAUCCUUAGCUUAUGGAAAAAGAAAAAAAAAAAAAAAGAAAAGGAAAAAAAAAAGGGGGAGGGGAAGGAACAGAGGAAAGGAACAAGGGAUAAAACCUUAACCCUCCCCUCCCACCAUAAAGAUAACAAAUUUUGCUUAUAAUCCUUAUCAGAAGCCCCAUUCCUGUCCAAAGAUGAAAAAUGUCUCCGUUGGUGCUGUCCUCACUGCUGCCUGGAUGUUCCUCACCGUACUGUGUGCCAUCGGCUGGAUUAGCCCACAGCCUGGCCAUAAUGUCUGGGUAACCUUAGCAAAGACAUUAAAACAGGAUAACAUGUGCUUAUCCAUGGGAAGCAUUGAUAACCCUCUUUCCACAUGUCCAGUAGGAAUUCCCUUUGCAGCCCCGUCUAUAACUCAGAGCUCCUCCGCACCACAGGUAAGAGACCCAAACAGGUCUGGGACAAGUGGAAAAGAACGUUGCCCAAAGCUCUCAAGGAACCCCAAGAACUGGACCUGUUGGGGACCUCCAAGACAACAUACUGUAUCAAAUUUUACUUUAGAUGCCCCAAAAAUAAUUGGCCAGAAAUUGACCAGACAAGAAACAGACACCGAAAAGACAUAUCACCAAUUAAAGCCUAUAACUCUCCUGACUUGUGUAAUUACACUGCUCGUGUGAUCUCUGGGUCCUCUCUCCACCCCAAAGUAUUACCCAAGGGAGCGUUUCUCAUCUGUGGGUGACCAACUAUGGGCUGGGAUCCCCUCACGACACCAGGGAGGUCCCUGUAGCCUUGGAAAACUUUCUACCCUCACAUCAAAUAUCACCUUGCUACAUAAUUGGAUAAAAGAAAGUGAAUUAAAACACCACAAAAGAUCCAACACAGAAUUUGAUGAAAAUUGCAAUUCCAAAUUAUAUGAUUGGAACAAACCAAAAAAGAUUGCUGUCUCCCUAUUCCUACCAUGGGUAGCUGCAUCUAAAACUCUUGGUGAAAUGAGUCACCUCUGGUGCUGGCUCAGUAAGCAAGCCAGCGCUACAUCGGCUGCCCUGAGCAAUCUUUUAACGGAAGAGGAAACCACAAGACAUGCAUCACUGCAAAAUCGAGCAGCAAUUGACUUCCUGCUGCUUGCCCACAGACACGGCUGCCAAGACUUGGAAGGGAUGUGCUGCUUCAAUCUCUCUUCUCACUCGGAAUCCAUCCACGCAAACAUCCAGAAACUGAAGGAACUUGUGAAGGACUUCAAAGUAGAAAACAACCCAGACUGGGUCAAUGACCUUUUCAGUCAAUGGGGAUUAACAGGCUGGGUUGCAUCUUUGGUUAAGGGAGUGUUGUGGAUUUUCCUUGUAAUUGUCAUUGUAUUAGCAAUGUUCUCAAGCCUUUUCCAUUGUUUUAAACGAAGUAUUGGGAAUUCCUUUUUUUCAAACACAGAAAGUGGAGUUGUAGCAGGCACAGGGCCUGCAGUGCCUCCAUGGCAUUCAGCAGCCUAAGACAGGAAAUGCCUGGUCAUGAUGACUGGACCUAAGAAGCCCCUCUUCUGCUCUCAGACCCUUGCUUAUCUCUUUGUAAGCCCACAGGUCACUUUCACCUUAACCCUCACCAUUGGACAGUUUUCUAAAACUCCUGCACCCUAAGUAAAGCCCUACUUCUGCCCAGUUCUUCAGAAGAGCUGUCCCUGAGACCUUUGCAGAAGACAUCAACAAAGACAUCUCUGUGGAACCUCACACAGCCUUCCCCUCUCUCUCCCGGCAUGUGCCAAAGGCACUCAGCAAGCCAAGAGCUGAAAUCACAAAUGAGCUGAGAAUCACUAAAGAGCUGGUCUCACUUAAGAGCUGAGCUUGCUAAGACUGCCUGCGGCUCUGGAGCCUGCCUGAGGGGCCUGGCCAGGUCAUGCUGAAUUGGACUUGUCUGUCUUGGGAACCCACAGCAGCCAGGGUCAGGGAGACCCCGAAACGCCCGAGUCGCCACAAGGACAAGGUGGGCAUCGGGUACAGCUGGGACUCCAUGGUGUCAGAGAGCUUUCCCAACCUUAAUGUUUCUAUGAGUUUGUGAUUCUAUGAAGGGAUUAUUCAAAACAGAUUUGAACUCCAAAUCUAUCAUACACAAAUAUUGCAAAGGUCAAAAUUCAUGUGAAAGAAAUUUAAGAUUAUUUCAAUCUUAUGUCACUGUUGCAUAUAUGUAAAGCCCUAUAAAUUAAGAGCCUUGUUACCCUUGUAAAAUUAUGGCUGGGGCCUGCUACUUCAGCUAAGUACAGAUAUCAGCUAGCCUGACAAGUUCCUGUGAGAAAGGAAUUUGCACCUGUGAGAAGAAAGGCUUCUACCCACAUCUUCUGUCCUGGAGACAAGAAUGGAAACAUCAUUAGAGAGGAAAGUGUUUGACUGACACGUACAUGAGCAACUAUAAACUAAUGAACUGAGUUGCAGUAAGGUUUCAGUUAAAGAUGUGGCAGAGUUGCGAGAAAAGCUGUGCCUCCAAUGAGGCCUGGCCUCAUACACAUCUAGUAAAAAUGGUAUUUCUGAGUUUGAAGUUUCUCAAAAGAUAGAUCUUGGCCUUGGACAUGCAACUCUCAGUCAGUGACUUUGUUGGCAGAAGGUGAAAUAAAAUGCAGCUUGUGCCUCUUCUGUGUUUAUCUUUUGUGUGUGGGUUUUAGAGUUUGUUUUCUGUUGCUGCUUUUCCCCUGCUCUUUUCACCGCGAGUGUUUUGCGGGGAACAGAGGUGCAGCAGCCCCGGGAGGGCUGUGGCAGCCGAGCUGGGCAAUCCCCCCAGUGGGCUGGAUUCAUGGCCGCAGGGACCUGCUGGGACAGAUGGAUAAUGAGAUUAUUGGCUCUCACAAUUAAGGGAUGAAUAUUGUGUGAAUAUUAAGAGAAGCUUUAUUGAUGUAUAGUUAUGAUAUUGCAGUCUAGAUGUCCUCUGUUGUCCCCAUAGUUCUUUUUCCCCUUCUCUCUGUAUUGUUGCCAUCAGACAGCCUGGAUUGUCUAGGACAGGUAGAAAGAAGGCGUGCACAUCUACCCCUUGCAUGGAGCAGGUGGGAAUGGAAGAACUUGUUACUGGGGUGCGGCAUGACAACACCUGACCUCCAUUCAAGUUGCAAGAAAGCAGACUCCACCAAUAAAUGGCAAAUGAGAACUGACUGACAGACUAUGGAGGGGCCAGGGUUGGCUGAUGCAACCCCCGGGGUAUAACAGGCAAAGCAUCCAUCUUGAAGAUGAGCCAGCCAAGUGGUAGGCCGACACGAGGGAAGCUCCCAGGCCUGUUUUUCCUUAUUUAGUGCUUUUGUUGUAUUUUUGUUAAGGUUUAAUAAACCCUUUACAUUUUUAAAGUGAGCAGUUGUUUCUCACAGUGCUGAGAUGGGUCCACAUGGCUUCCACCACCUCCGCUGCCAUUCCAGAGUUAAGAAUCCAACUCCGAUGGAUGUGAGUAUAGCACGGUGACCGUUUUGUUUAUCCUUCUCCCACGUGGAGGCUGCAAGAGAGCGAUGGCUGGAGUUUCCUUCCUGUGGGCAACACAUUCCCUCUCCCCUGUGAAUGGCACAGGCCCCGCUCUGGCGCAGAGCCGCUUCUGUCUGCCUCUGAUGAAGCCUCACCUACUGGGUCUGUGUGCCUUGAAAACGUGGUGCUAUAGGGAUUUUUAAGUCUAUUUUGUUUUCUGACUAAAUUAUGAUUGUUUUAUAUAGUUUUACAGUUACUGGAGAGAUUGAAAAGUGGUAAAUGCAAUGCCUUAUUACCUAUCAAAUUUUAACAUGGUCUUAUUUCUUUAACAAGGAUGCUAACACAUUUGCCAUAUAAAAUGAUGCCAGAUACCAUCACAAAAAGCUGUUGGGUUGUUCAGCAAUAUGCUAAAUUGCAUGUUAUUAUAUUUAUUUCCCAGUAACCCUGCACUUUAAAAAGUCUUACUGAAUUUCUGUUUCCAUGAAAUUUGCAUUUACCAUGGGUGUUUCCCAUAACUGAUUUACUUAUAAUUCUAAUAUGCUUGUUACAACUCGAAUCCCUCCAGUACAACAUUAUACUGUUAUUUCACUUAUGUCUUAUUCACCUUUAAGUUGUCUUUUUGUGUUAAUAACCUUAGACUAAGUUACAUCAUGUCAUAUCUAUAACUUUUAAGGAUGUUCAUUUGAAUUCUGUUAAAUUAAAGCCCAAUAUUGUAAUGCUCAGUUAGCUUCUGUUAAAUUGAAUGAGGAUAAGUUUUAUUAAGUUAAUUUUAGUAGAUAUUAUUUCUGUUGAGUUUCACUAUUACUAAGUUUGAACAAUGUUCUAUUCCAGCUUUUUAUGGAUCCAGUUAUGUUUGGUAUUAAUAGUAAUUAACUUUGAGUUCUCUUGAGUGUGCUUUUUGUUCUACUAAGGUGAUAAUGAAAUUAUGUUUAUUAAUUUGAAAUCCUUUCAGGGCUCAGUUUUAUUAAGUUCAUCUUGUUAAGCUCUAUCACUGUCCAAAUUAAUUUAUAUCAGGUUUGAGUGUUAUUUAAUCUGAGGUAUCAUAAAUUUUACUAGUGAGCUGUUCAGUGUUUUCUUUUGUUGCAUUUUUUCUGUCAUAAAGACAUUAAUGUUUGUAUUCCUGUUUUUAUAGCCAGCUUUUCAUGUACUUUACCAUCUUUUGGUGUAAUUAUCUACAAGACACGUGUCGUUUCAGGAUCCUUCUUCUUUUGUUCUCUAGCUGUUUAUGUAUCUCUUAGACCAGACUACGCCUCUAGCUGGGCUCUGCACUGUGGGUCCAUGGUUUGACCCAGUGCUGUCUCAUUAUUUUUAAGUAUUUUUCAGAGUUCCAAGAAAUGAUAUCUCAGCUUUGUCAGAAGCCUCCUCUAAACUGAUUGUAUUGUGACAUCGACUCUAAGCAAUCAGAUGCAGUCCCAAUUGUUAUUACAGAACCACUCCAACAGUUUGCUGUGUUUAAAGCAUCUCUAUGCUGAGCAAAUUCUGGAGGAGACAGCUAUUGGAUGGUUCAUUAGUCUUUCAUCCCUAGACCUUUACUCGUACGUGCUAUUCUUAAGAGCCUUAUUUUAAAUUACAUUUAGGGAAUUCUCUCCCACUUAAGAGCUUGAGUGGUGGCCAGGCCUUAGCUCUGCCUGGACAGGAAUUUGCCAACAGACCCAGAAGUUUUCUGCAUCAAAACUAGAUUUGAGUCGCUUUGGCAUUGCAAUUUGACCCUCUGUACAUAACAGUAGAACUAUUUUUAAAGGGAGCUUGGGAAUUAUUAUCUGGAAAUAAUUAUUGAAGACCCCACUGAAUCAAGGUUUGUCAGCUGUUUGCAGAUUCUGGAUGAUGGUAUAUUAUUUCAGAGAUUGCUAUUUACCUCAUUUCACCUAUGUUGUUACUUUUGUCUGCUAUUUCAAAUAUUCCUCAUAGUUGUAUCCAAAUUAUUCCUAAUUGCUAUAAGUUUCUUGUCCACUACACGUAUUAUUUUACUAUGAUGUUUCUUCAUACUCAUAACAAAAAACAUGCAUCUCAGUCUUAAAAACAGAGGAGAAAUUAAUGGCUUAUGAACAUUCAAAUAAUGCAAUAUGUACAUGAGAAAUUUGGACGACUAAUCAUUUUGAAUCAUGCAAUAGUUACAUUAGAAAUUUGGAAAAAAGAUCAUCCCAUCUAAAUUCCAAUUGAGUGUCCCACAGUGAAGCCUAAUUGAUUCAUUAACUUCAGGAGAAGAGAUGCCUGUGUUUUAUCAUCAACAGUUCAAAGCAGUCACCUGUUCAUUCCAUCAGAUACUGAUCAGCUCUGAAAAAAUGAGGCCUAGAGAAAAGAGAAAUAACCUGAUCACCUUGCAGCCUUUGUGGCCAGAACAGGAACAGAAGUAGGACUGCCAAGACACAGCUGUGUCUGGCAACUUACAGAGGCAACUGGCCAACAAAAGCCUCAAUUCAUCAUCAUGGGACAGUGCUCCUAACAACCUUCUUCAGUUCUUCCCUGUUCCAGCACCCAGGAGGACAUUCAGUGAUGUCAAAGAUCAACAUUUCCAGCUAAUGGACUUUCUCCUACUUCUCAACUAAUUGGAAACAAUGGUCAUUUCUUUCCAUUUCCCUAAGAGACAUUGGACAUUAUUCUUUUGUUUUCUCAUGCUGCAAAACCCUGUGUCAAUGACUUGAUAGAAUUGGGUAAGUUUUGUUGAUUGUAAUUGGUCUUUCAUGUAUCUUAUCCCAUAUCUAACAGAUAACCAGUGAUAACCUUCAUGAGAUCAUACCCUCCCAAGAGUGAGCUGUUUCAACAUCAGAACAUAUGAGCGUUUUUUAAAUGAAAAAGAGGGGGAGAUGUCAGAGACAGGUAGAAUAAUUAUAAAAGAAAGGUCUUAUGAAAUCAGGCCUUGUUCUGCUAUAUUAAGAGCUGGCCUGUCAUCUCUUCUAAGUGCAGCUAAGCAGUUACAAGUUCCCAUGUGAAGCUAUUUUGAGAAUGAGACUUUGUGAACAAUCUAUUCUGAGGGUGAAAAACAAAUGCACCUGCAACAACGGAUUUGUCCCAUGAGAAUCAGUGAAGAUAAUAGGUAAACAAUACAAUAGAGAGAUUUGAUGUAAAAGUAAAAUAUAUUUUAUGAAUUUAUAAUAGAAUAACUGGCAUAACUAGUAAUAAGAAUCUAUUAACUAACUAAAGUUGCACAUGAGGUCUGUAAAACUGUAUAAAAUAAGUUGUGUGAAUAAAGAGUUCUUCUCCGGCUCAGCUGGGUCCUCUGGGAUUUUGGUUCCCCCCUUCUUUCAGGCUUUGGCUUCUCCCUUCUUUGGG